UCCAGCUCUUCUGGGCUGAAGGAGAGCUGGACAAUGGUACUGCAUAGCUGGGAGUUCUGGAAGCCUGUCUCCAGUGCAAUGGUUCGACAUCUGAGCAAGCAAAGGCAUGAGAAAUAGCCUCAGAAGGUUGUCCCACAAAGCGGGCCAUGAUAAACCCCAGGCCAAACCCAAUAAAGGGGUAGAUGGUACCAAUUAUCCAUAAGGAGGGAGCGAUGUUCCAGGAGGACUGGUAGAGGACUCCUCCAACCACAGCUAUGGCGAUAAUGAGAAGAAAGCCAACAAUGGAGCCCACCUGUGCACAGCAGAGACUUUUACUAAACACAUGCCAGGAGUUUCCUCUGGUUAAGUCACGCAAAGUGUAAAUGUCACAGCAGCUCUCUUCAUAGGAUUCUGAAAAAAAGCUUAGAGGAUUCCUACCUUGAGGAUUUUUUUUGCGUAGAUGGGCCACCUGCGCUUCACUAACAUUCCAAAACCAAUUGGGAUGAGAAGAGCCGCUAGUGUGAUACCUAGAGGUACAAAGAUUCCAUUUAAGCAUUCUAAUGACUCAUAUUAAACCAGUGCAAUGCUUUUUGGACAAAUGUACAAAAUGAUUUUACAAUAUAAUAUAACACUGGAGGAUAUAAAAAAAAAACAAUUCACUAAACGACCACAAUUUUAUAAUAGGUGUUCCCAAGAGGCACAUGCAGUGAAAGAUAUCCACCAUACAUACAAACAUGAUAAUGAAACUGCCUGAGACUGUUUGUCUGAAAUGAAUUUUCACUUCCCUUGUGAGAUCUUUACUUACCAAUACUGUCAUAAGGAAUCUGGAUGGUGUCACUGGAAGUCCAGGUAGUGGUGUAAAUGAGCAGGCACAGAGGCAUCAUCCCCAAGGCCAGGAUAGAGGAACAGGCUGUCAUACUGAUACUGAGGACCAGAGAAUGUGGACAGUGUGUCAGUCAAACAAUCCUCUCAAAUCAUUUUUUUCAAGCAUUAAAUGUCCUCUAGAACAGAAAUAGGAAAUAAAGAAGUGGUAUGUGUUAAGUCUACUGUAUCCCAUGGGAGAUUUUGUUUAUGGGUUCCUGGUUUCAAGCACUCAUGAAGACAAAAAAAAGGGGGCCCAUGCAAAUCUUGAGAAUGAUGUUCUCCCCAGUGAACUCACAUAUUUAUACUUAUAGGAAGCCAUUUAACAAAUAUUUCAUCUGAGCUGCUGAGAUGGGACACAAAUAUCUUCAUUCUGAAACAUGCAGGAGUCAAAUGUGAUUCCUAAUUAUGAAAUGCAGAAAUUAGUCUUGGUAGUGCAUAAUGUUUGAAUAUACGUAAAUUAAAACCUAGAUAUCACAUUUUGGGUCUACUUUCCACUCACACACAAUAAGAGAAAUGCCUAUUUACAGAAAAGUGUGUGUUUUUGUGUUGUACAACAGCUUGUGUUGUAAAGCUGUGCUGCAAAUUCUAUUGUUCUGGCAUCAGGACUUGUUUUCUCCUGUCAGAGUAGAUCAUCAAUAAAAGGAAAAGCAUGCAGCGUG
This is a long non-coding RNA of Acanthochromis polyacanthus (spiny chromis), 1502 nucleotides long. RefSeq lists it as uncharacterized. NCBI's taxonomy places the organism in Eukaryota, Metazoa, Chordata, Actinopteri, Pomacentridae. The transcript is spliced from 2 exons. The record is from RefSeq and is a predicted model, not a curated record.